This 497-nucleotide ribosomal RNA is filed under the name uncultured bacterium. RNAcentral describes it as "partial 16S ribosomal RNA". It matches the Rfam family "Bacterial small subunit ribosomal RNA", at positions 28 to 507 of the family's 1533-position model. The record is from RNAcentral.
GAUGAACGCUGGCGGCGUGCCUAAUACAUGCAAGUCGAGCGAACGGACGAGAAGCUUGCUUCUCUGAUGUUAGCGGCGGACGGGUGAGUAACACGUGUAUAACCUACCUAUAAGACUGGGAUAACUUCGGGAAACCGGAUCUAAUACCGGAUGAGAUUUUGAACCUCAUGGUUCAAAAGUGAAAGACGGUCUUGCUGUCACUUAUAGAUGGAUCCGCGCUGCAUUAGCUAGUUGGUAAGGUAACGGCUUACCAAGGCAACGAUGCAUAGCCGACCUGAGAGGGUGAUCAGCCACACUGGAACUGAGACACGGUCCAGACUCCUACGGGAGGCAGCAGUAGGGAAUAUUCCACAAUGGGCGAAAGCCUGACGGAGCAACGCCGCGUGAGUGAUGAAGGUCUUCGGAUCGUAAAACUCUGUUAGUAGGGAAGAACAUAUGUGUAAGUAACUGUGCAUAUCUUGACGGUACCUAAUGAGAAAGCCACGGCUAACUACGUG